Molecule: long non-coding RNA, 1276 nt
Organism: Selaginella moellendorffii
Lineage: Eukaryota; Viridiplantae; Streptophyta; Lycopodiopsida; Selaginellales; Selaginellaceae
Exons: 2
Source: RefSeq, a predicted model, not a curated record
CGGGCCAGGGCCGGUGGCCAUGGUUAGCGGGAAUAUCGGCUCAAUGUUGUGGCGGCCAAUGGGCGGGAUGCACGCGUGGCCGGGAAGGGAAGAGGGCGUGGUGACAGGUGUUAUGCCAUGCACUCCUAGGGCUCCAUGGCUGCUCUGGUCGGACACGGUUUUGGGGGCAUUCCCGUGAGAGCCUGUGCGUGGUUAGUAACAGGGGCGAGCAGAAUGGUAGUCGGGCACACAAUCCAGGCUCCUCUCGGGAUCAACUCAGGACUGUGAGAGGCAAAUUGGCUCAUCUCCAACUCAGCAAAGCUUUGAUCCCUGUUCGCCACUGCCUCACGAGCUCUUUGGCCUACAGGAAAGCAAUUAUCAAGGACACUCCCUCUUCAUUCCCGAGACUUGGGUCACAGUCGAGCCCCGUGCCGAUGCGUUUGUCAUCAGCAUCGGUGACACAUUCCAGGCACUGUGCAACCAUCGCUACAAGAGUGCCAAGCACCGCGCAGUGAUCCAUGCCACCCGAGCCAGGCACUCGCUGGUUUUCUUCAUCAACCCGGGGCUGGACAUGGUGAUCCGGCCGAUUCCAGAGCUGGUGGUCAAGAGCAAAGAAGACGAAGAGCAAGAUCGCAAGAGGCCGUGCGUGGAGUUUACUUGGGGGCAGCUGCUAGAAUUCACCCAGAAGCACUAUAGAACCGAUGUCCACACGCUGGACGCGUUUGAGAGCUACUUGAGGAAAACGAGCCAAGCAGCGUGAGGACGGACAGGGAAGAACGAAUGUAAAUUUGCCAGGAGGAGCCUACAGGAAAGCAAUUAUCAAGGACACUCCCUCUUCAACCCCGGAUUCUCUCGAGGCAUCCCUUCCUGGUGAGGGAUUGUUGUUUCAGCACAUGCUCGGGACCAACUCCGUUUGUAGGAACCAGGUGUUUCGAGUUGACGUAGGGCUGUCGAGUGGCUAGCCAACACUGCUCCUGAAGUUUUGGAAAUCUGACACGGCACUAAUGUCUGGUUUCUCUCGAAAGAGAAGGAGAAGCCACCGCAAGCAUUGCCUGGUUUAGCUUCGUUUUUAGAUCGAGGUAAGUCGUAAGUUUGAAUAUCUUUGUAUUCUAUGAUGUGUAGCAAGUGUUGGGAAAGGAUGGGAAAGCUGGCAUCAAUCGGUUUGUUGCAGUAGCCCAUGGAUAAAACUGUAGUUCGUGGAUAGAUGUAUGACAUUAUAGUCAGCAUUCCAGAAUCAAUCCUAAGAUAAAUUUGUUUAGAAUGAUCAUGUUAAAAUAAAUGGUGGCGCAGUUGGUCA